GUUUCUCCACCUGACAAUGGGAUGAACAAAUGAAAACGUUUAUCAGCCAUAUGGAGGGAAAGAAUAGAUUAUUACUUUGUGUAACUUAGACUUAUUUUACCUUCUUGCACUGCUGUGGUAUACAUCACGUCAUCAAUGUUGAAUCCUAUUGGCGCGAAAAUAAAAGUUAAAGAAGUUCAUAGUACUGGUAUUACCUUCCAUCAUACUACACUGCAUAUAGCUUUUCACCAUUUUUAAGUAUCCCUCAAUGAUUUAGCCUUUCAGCUCACCCUUGCUAGUCAAUGUCUCAACAUUGUUUUUAAAUUGAGGUUGUUACAAGCUUUUGGCAUUGAAUGAGACAUGGUAAGAUGCGUCUCAGAUUGGGAUAGUUAAAUCAUGCUCAAGCUAACCAGUUAUUUUAAAUGACUCUGAAUGCGUCAGACUGACAUUUCUAGAUCAAAUGAAGCCCAUUCAGUUGGUCAUCUACAUUACACCAGCACCCCUUAAAGAAACCAUCUUUCACAGACAUCAAACCAAGCAAGACAAGGCGGAGUGCCAAGCACCCACAGGAUAAUGUGUUUAUACUGCAUGUGCAGAGCCAUACUGGAAGUUAGAGGGUAGGUAAUGUAGACAUUAUGUAGCCUUGUGUGUUAGUAGAAGCAGGGGACAGUUACAGCAAGCAGAGUGGUCUAAAUUGAGGGGAUCACACAUUUGUUUACUUUGUCAUUAGCAACAAAUAUUUAUGUUGAAUAAAUAGUGACCCUCUCAGCUGCAUUUUAUGACAUACUGCAUCUCAUUCACAGCACAACUACCUGGUUAAAAAAUAACUCAAAAUCAUGUGAAGGAAAAUCUCAAAGGAGAAAAUAUGGGGAUGUUAGUGGGAUUUUAUGACACAGGGAGGCUUUUUCUUUCUCCCUUCUGUUCAGUUGAAGGUGCAGCUUCAUUCACGGGAGCGUCCCACAAUAGCGAGGAUGUAGAGGAAAAUGUUGAUGAUGUCAGUGUAGAGGUUGAGGGCAGCAAAAAUGUAUUCCUCUGGACUCAAAGCCAACUUCUUGUUGCCCAAGAGAAGCUGAGUAUCCACAGCCAAGAACUGCAGGGAAAAAUGAAAUUCAUUUGUUUUACCAGCUGAGGAUUUAGGUGGUAUGUUUAACACCGACCAAACUUAUACAAAUACUGCCUUAUCCUGAGGUCAUGGUAAACAGCUCACAAAGACAUGUGUCAAGUACCUUAAAGCAUCAAAACAAAUCACAAAUAUUACAGCUGCACAUUUUUAAACCAUGUACCGUUCAUAAAUUUUAUUUUUAUGUAAGUUACUUCUGCUUGAGUGCAAUUUGAAAUUAUUCUCCAGUGCUGACAUAGAUAACACGUACAGUAUUUAUUUUUCUUAGUGUGCGAUAUUUGCAACAAAAGACUUCAUUUCACAUUAGGAAAUACCUUAGAAAUUGUCAUUGAUAAUUUUGUGUUGUUUUGCAGCCUGAUAAACAUUUAUUCUCAUGAAUCUUUUUACUUUCUGAAUCUAAUUUCAUCAUAUCAGCAGUACCUCCAGCAACACAUCCCCACCAAUCCAGGACUGAUUUCAAUGUUAUACCCACUUUGGCUUGAACUUGCAUUGAUGCUUCUAUUCAUAUUGUUGACUACGUCCUCCUCCCAUGAGCUUCUCCUUUCACACUUACUGCGCAGCUUUGUCAAACAUAACCUAUCUUCUUGAUUUUUGUGUACAUAGCCUUCAGCAACAGUAAAGACAAACAUAGAA
Molecule: long non-coding RNA, 1732 nt
Organism: Notolabrus celidotus (New Zealand spotty)
Lineage: Eukaryota; Metazoa; Chordata; Actinopteri; Labriformes; Labridae
Exons: 3
Source: RefSeq, a predicted model, not a curated record